Artibeus jamaicensis (Jamaican fruit-eating bat) is the source of this 109-nucleotide small nuclear RNA. The record is from RefSeq and is a predicted model, not a curated record. NCBI's taxonomy places the organism in Eukaryota, Metazoa, Chordata, Mammalia, Chiroptera, Phyllostomidae.
GCGCUGGAGUUGGCAACACGUGCACUAAAAUUGGAACAAUACAAAGAGGAUCGGCAUUUUCCCUCGGCGCAAAGAUGACAAGCAAAUUCAUGAAAGUAAAAAAAGGUGU